Molecule: ribosomal RNA, 474 nt
Filed under: uncultured bacterium
Lineage: Bacteria
Description: bacterial SSU rRNA
Rfam family: Bacterial small subunit ribosomal RNA
Source: RNAcentral
GAUGAACGUUGGCGGUGCGCUUAAUGCAUGCAAGUCGAGGGAGAACCAUUCGUUCCGUAAGGAUCGGAUGGGAAACCGGCGAACGGGUGCGUAACACGUGAGGAACCUGCCCCGAAGAUCGGGAUAGCCCGGGGAAACCCGGGAUUAAUACCGAAUACCUUCCCACCUCCGCAUGGUGGAGGGAAGAAACAGUCCGCUGCUUCGGGAUGGCCUCGCGGCCUAUCAGCUUGUUGGUGAGGUAACGGCUCACCAAGGCGAAGACGGGUAGCUGGUCUGAGAGGACGAUCAGCCACACUGGGACUGAGACACGGCCCAGACUCCUACGGGAGGCAGCAGCAGGGAAUAUUGCACAAGUGGGACGAAAGCCUGAUGCAGCGACACCGCGUGGCGGGAUGAAGGCCUUCGGGUUGUAAACCGCUUUCAGGAGGGACGAAAAUGACGGUACCUCCAGAAGAAGGCCCGGCCAACUACGUG